AAGACUAUACUUUCAGGGAUCAUUUCUGUAAUCUGUUACUAGAGAAGAUUCUCUGAUAAUGUAGAGCACUAAAAAAAAAAAAAU
Molecule: small nucleolar RNA, 84 nt
Filed under: Tupaia belangeri chinensis (Chinese tree shrew)
Lineage: Eukaryota; Metazoa; Chordata; Mammalia; Scandentia; Tupaiidae
Description: Tupaia chinensis (Chinese tree shrew) Small nucleolar RNA U3
Rfam family: Small nucleolar RNA U3
About the family: Small nucleolar RNAs (snoRNAs) are involved in the processing and modification of rRNA in the nucleolus. There are two main classes of snoRNAs: the box C/D class, and the box H/ACA class. U3 snoRNA is a member of the box C/D class.
Source: Rfam by way of RNAcentral